CCAGCUCCAACCCUGCAGCUGGGAGAGGAGCCCCAGCCCCGGGAGUCCCAGGUGUUCCCAUUCUGUGAUCAGCACAGAACACACACACCUCACCAUGGAGUUUGUGCUGGGCUGGGUUUUCCUGGUUGCUCUUUUAAAAGGUGUCCUGUGUGACGAGCAGCUGGUGGAGUCUGGAGGAGACCUGGUGAAGCCUGGGGGGUCCCUGAGACUCACCUGUGUGGCCUCUGGAUUCACCUUCAGUAGCUACUACAUGCACUGGGUCCGCCAGGCUCCAGGGAAGGGGCUGCAGUGGGUCGCACGCAUUUAUACUGAUGGAAGUAGUACAAACUACGCAGACUCCGUGAAGGGCCGAUUCACCAUCUCCAUAGACAAGGCCAAGAACACGCUGUAUCUGCAGAUGAACAGCCUCAAGACCGAGGACACGGCCACAUAUUACUGUGCAAGAGACACAGUGAGGGGACCUCACUGGGAGCCCAGACACAAACCUCCCUGCAGGUAG
Molecule: non-coding RNA, 499 nt
Organism: Neofelis nebulosa (Clouded leopard)
Lineage: Eukaryota; Metazoa; Chordata; Mammalia; Carnivora; Felidae
Source: the annotation of a RefSeq genome assembly